UAUUAUUAGUGGUUAAGCCACUGUAUUAUAAUCACUAUCUCAUCUGUUAUUAAUUGGUUAAUUUAUUGAAAGUUGUCCCUGACCUUCUUUUCUCCACUGCCAAGCAAUUGUGCUACACUUAAUUGGUUAAUUUGUAUUAAAAGUCAAAUUGCUGCAAAAGAAGAUUGGGACUGCCCGAAUAUGUCUUGGAGAGAGCAUUUAAGAAUGACAUUUGUUGAUAAAAGUGGUGAAAAUAGUUCAAGACCGAUUUUAUGUUCAUCUGUAAUAUUUAGCUUGCUAGUUUCUUUUAACUUGUUCUCAAAGUUUCAGGUUUAAAGCUAACAAUGUAUUUUUGCACUUGACAUUAUCAUUCCUUUUAAAUUAAUAUUUCUUUCACUUGAUCAGAUUUGAUUGUUUGCAAGGUUUGAACAAUGCUCCUUAGUUGUGUCUUCUUCUAUGAUAUUUUUUGGGUAUUUGUUUCUAAAGAAGGUGUUCAAUGAAAGUGUGAUGAUUGUGGUUAGUAGGGAGUGCCACUUUGACUUACAUCGUCACAGACUUGAAGAAGAUCACCUCUCAACUACUUUACUGCGUUGCUAUUAAAAAUCAUUAACAGAUGGCUUUGUCUAAUUUUCAAGUUGGCAACUUUCAAUUUCUGGCAACGGUUGGAAAAAGUAUUUAUGCUAUGAUGAAAAUGUGGAUUGAAAGUGCAUCUAGUCUUGUAUGUACAUCGGCAAUAUUGAUAGUGGGUUAGGGUUCUGCUAGUUGCACAUGUUGUGUACUACUUUCCCUUCCCAGCAUUUGUAUGGAUGUACUCUUGAAUGAUUAAUUUAAUGAUUUCUACACUUUAAUGUUUUCUUACAUGUAAAUUUGGUGUCAUUUUGGCUACCAUAAAGCCAAUGGCACUGGCUUGAAGGUAAAGGAAUGUGAAUGUUCUUGAUUGGUUAUUUUUCAAUUAUUCCUGAUAAAUGCUAACUGUAGAGUGUUUAUUGUUUUUUAAAUGUUAGUUUUAUGAAAAGUAUGUUAGUGAAUUAAAAAUGUGUUGAAGUGUCCAAGAGUAUGGCUUGUGAUUAACAUUAGGGUCUACAUUGAAUUCGAUGAGCAUUCGAUUAUAAGAUUUAUGUUAAUAUCAUUGUCUUCUUGAAGAUGUCUUGGUUCUCUCUUAUUAUAUAUUCUUGUUGAAAGGUUUUAUAACUUGAAAAACCAUAGAUGAGAGGCACAUAUUCUCUUUUAGGAAUCAUACAACUGAGAUUCAGACAAUUCUAAUUCUGAAAGUAAUAUCUUUCUGUAUGUGAGAUAUUUUCCUCAUGAUGCUGUUGCACGCAGUUUUGCCAACUACCUAUUUGUUGGUCAAUAUUUCCUUCUUUUAUAUUUAUUUUUGUGUACCAUGUUUGUAGUCUAAUUAUUUGAGGUAGUAAUAUUCCUACUUCUAGAUUGAUGGCUCUCCCUUGUGAGAUGUAGUUUAAGGUUCUGCAACUCUGCUACUAUCCAUCAGAAACACCAUACACGCCCAUGGUGGCUUAAGCUUGAUCAGAUACAUCUUUGGAAGUAAUAUUGCUUAUUCAUCUUGGAAGUGGUAAAGGGAUAAAUCUCUGAUUUUACUAAACUGUAUCCUCUAUAGGAUUCUGCAUAUGAAAUUCUUCUACGAGAAGUAUUAUAUGAUGCUGCAAUAAUACCAGAGUACCCAUUCCUUAAACUUCAAUUUAGAACUGAACGAUCUGCUACUGAUUUAAGAACUAUUUGUUUGAAUUGGUUAUUUGUUGUUGAUAAUGGUAUUCGUUCCUUUAGGUAUAACAAAACAUAAUUCGAGCAUUAGCUAUAGUGUCUCAAUAAGGUUUAUCUGUUUAUUGAAUAUAUGUGGCCCUAUCUUGAUAAGGUUUAUCUGUUUCAUCAACAGUACCCAUUCUUAAGUUAUUCUAUCAACUUUUUUGUUGGUUAACUAUGUUAAUUCCACUGUCAUGUUGCCACAUAUUUUAUUUGAGAAAGAGAAAGCUGCCACAUAUUUUAUUUGGUGUGAUGGGUUUGUUUAAAAUGAAAGGUUUAAAAGAUUUCAAACCAUUGAUGGCCAUAGAUUUUGUUUUUGCCAUUGUGAGUAUUCUGCUCGAGAUAGUUCUUCAUCAUGGAAUGAACCAUUUAGUUCUCAUCACUUAUUGUCUCUUCAUUGCUGUCAUUUCCUUAGCUCCAAUUACUUACUUCUGUGAAAAGUAAUUUCCUCAAAUACCCACUUUUUUAUUUAAUCCUUUUUUCCUUUUGAUUAUUAUGAAUUUUCUCUUUUUCUCUGUUAUUUGUUCUUCGCGCCAUUGUUGGGUAAGUUUUCAACCUUCAAUUCUUAAUUAUAUGUUUUGUAUUUUCAGUUCCUUUGAUGUUUAUGCUCUGUUGCUUUGGAUGUUUCUUUAGCUUGUUUUUCUUUUGAUGUUUAAUUUGGGCCUCAAUAAAUUAGUACGAACUAUGUUGUAGAAUUGUUCAUUUACUUGAGUUGGUGAUUGUCUAAUGUCGGAUUACAUCUUUAGGUUUUAAUUUCUGCUUGCUUUGUGGGUUUUUGUUUAAAAUGAUUACCGUUUGUUUUUUUUUAGAUUUUUAUUUUGACUACGAGGAGGUGGAUAGGGAUGAUGAUUUGAAUUCGGAAUAUCCUUGUUCGUUUUGUCAGGAGGAAUUUGAUUUGGUUGAGCUUUGCUGCCAUAUUGAUGACGAGCAUCCCUUAAAAGCCAACUUUAGGGUUACCUGUGGGUGUGCAACUGGAGUUGGUGCAGCUUUUAGAGCUCUAGUUGGUGGUGUAUUAUUUGCACAGGAAGAAGUAACUUCUUGGUAUGGUGUCGAUAGCGAUACUGAGUCAUCAAAGGAAACAAGCAAUGAUGGAAGCAGUCAUUCUGGGGCAGAAAAGAAAAAGAAAACUAGAUCAUGCUUGAAGCUUUCUCUUAGAUCUUUAUCUCAGUUCAAGCUCGAUCAAAAUGCCAUAUCAGUCUAGGCUUCAAUCAUUGAGCUGCAAACUUUAUUUCUUGCAUUUUGAGCAUUAAUGAAGUGAAAUGAAAAGUGUGAUGUGAUUUUCUUUUCAAAAAAGAAAAGUUCCACAAAAAUUUAUCAUGCCUUUGAAUUCUUGUUUUUAUUUUGGUGGCUUCACAGUUUUUAGUGGUAAAGUUGUAAUGACUCAAGUAAGUAAUUUUUUUGUUGGUAAAAAGUCAUUUAUAGUAGGUUAAAAAUGUAUGGCAAAAUAUUAUUAUUAAUAGAAACGAUUUUUAAUCUUCGCCUGAAAGAAAUUUAACGUAAUAAUCCAUGCAAUAAAGUAUUAAAUAAUUUUAGGUUGCUAAAAAUAGGACCAAAUUUCCCCCUCCCCUUAAUUUUACUCUCCCUCCCGCAAUUUUACUUUGCCCUCCCCUCUCCAUCUCACUCCACCCUCUUCAUGUCAACGAAAUCUCCAUUUCCAUGUGAAACCCAUCCCAAACGGCUGUACGAAUCAGGACCGGCGACCACUGCAAUUUCUCUGACCCACGGCUGACGACCACGCAUGGCGAUCUCCUCUGCUAAGAAAUAGAAAGCUAUUGUUCAUUUAAAUGACUAAAUAUUGUUUACUGACCAUACACAUCGAAUGAGUAAUUGACUGGUUUGAAGGUUUC
This is an RNA transcript of Cucumis melo (muskmelon), 3587 nucleotides long. It is a transcript of the gene named protein DEHYDRATION-INDUCED 19-like, with no coding region annotated. Lineage: Eukaryota; Viridiplantae; Streptophyta; Magnoliopsida; Cucurbitales; Cucurbitaceae. The transcript is spliced from 5 exons. The record is from RefSeq and is a predicted model, not a curated record.